Molecule: ribosomal RNA, 476 nt
Filed under: Chaetodon lunula (raccoon butterflyfish)
Lineage: Eukaryota; Metazoa; Chordata; Actinopteri; Chaetodontiformes; Chaetodontidae
Description: partial small subunit ribosomal RNA
Rfam family: Bacterial small subunit ribosomal RNA
Source: RNAcentral
CACUAUGCCUAGCCCUAAACAUUGACAGUUAAUUACACCCACUGUCCGCCCGGGAACUACGAGCACCAGCUUAAAACCCAAAGGACUUGGCGGUGCUUUAGACCCACCUAGAGGAGCCUGUUCUAGAACCGAUAAUCCCCGUUAAACCUCACCCUUCCUUGUCAUUUCCGCCUAUAUACCACCGUCGCCAGCUUACCCUGUGAAGGCCCAAUAGUAAGCACAAUCGGCAAUGCCCAAAACGUCAGGUCGAGGUGUAGCGUAUGGAAGGGGAAGAAAUGGGCUACAUUUACUAACACAGUAAAUACGGAUGAUUACCCUGCAACGAGUAUCUGAAGGAGGAUUUAGCAGUAAGCAAAAAGCAGAGUGUUUUGCUGAAAUUGGCCCUGAAGCGUGCACACACCGCCCGUCACUCUCUCCGAACUAAAACUUUAAACAUAACUAAUAUGCUAUAACUGUAAAGGGGAGGCAAGUCGUAA